GACGAACGCUGGCGGCGUGCUUAACACAUGCAAGUCGAACGGAAAGGCCCUGCUUUUGUGGGGUGCUCGAGUGGCGAACGGGUGAGUAACACGUGAGUAACCUGCCCUUGACUUUGGGAUAACUUCAGGAAACUGGGGCUCAUACCGGAUAGGAGCUCCUGCUGCAUGGUGGGGGUUGGAAAGUUUCGGCGGUUGGGGAUGGACUCGCGGCUUAUCAGCUUGUUGGUGGGGUAGUGGCUUACCAAGGCUUUGACGGGUAGCCGGCCUGAGAGGGUGACCGGCCACGUUGGGACUGAGAUACGGCCCAGACUCCUACGGGAGGCAGCAGUGGGGAAUAUUGCACAAUGGGCGGAAGCCUGAUGCAGCAACGCCGCGUGCGGGAUGACGGCCUGCGGGUUGUAAACCGCUUUCGCCUGUGACGAAGCGUGAGUGACGGUAAUGGGUAAAGAAGCACCGGCUAACUACGUG
RNAcentral lists this ribosomal RNA (468 nucleotides) under uncultured bacterium. RNAcentral's name for it is "partial 16S ribosomal RNA". It matches the Rfam family "Bacterial small subunit ribosomal RNA", at positions 28 to 507 of the family's 1533-position model. The record is from RNAcentral.